CCUACGGGUGGCAGCAGUGAGGAAUAUUGGUCAAUGGACGAGAGUCUGAACCAGCCAAGUAGCGUGAAGGAUGACUGCCCUAUGGGUUGUAAACUUCUUUUAUAUGGGAAUAAAACAGGGUAUGCAUACCCUCUUUUAUGUACCAUAUGAAUAAGGAUCGGCUAACUCCGUGCCAGCAGCCGCGGUAAUACGGAGGAUCCGAGCGUUAUCCGGAUUUAUUGGGUUUAAAGGGAGCGUAGGUGGAUUGUUAAGUCAGUUGUGAAAGUUUGCGGCUCAACCGUAAAAUUGCAGUUGAAACUGGCAGUCUUGAGUACAGUAGAGGUGGGCGGAAUUCGUGGUGUAGCGGUGAAAUGCUUAGAUAUCACGAAGAACUCCGAUUGCGAAGGCAGCUCACUGGACUGCAACUGACACUGAUGCUCGAAAGUGUGGGUAUCAAACAGGAUUAGAUACCCGGGUAGUC
Molecule: ribosomal RNA, 460 nt
Filed under: uncultured bacterium
Lineage: Bacteria
Description: partial 16S ribosomal RNA
Rfam family: Bacterial small subunit ribosomal RNA
Source: RNAcentral